UCAAAGAAAGAUAUGUCAUUGUCUCU
Molecule: non-coding RNA, 26 nt
Filed under: Mus musculus (house mouse)
Lineage: Eukaryota; Metazoa; Chordata; Mammalia; Rodentia; Muridae
Source: RNAcentral